AAUAAAUUAAAAUUCUACCCUAUGCUAAUAUCUUAGUCACGUGGUAGAAGUGUGCACUUUUCUAACGAGCGACCUGCUUCCAUCCAAAACCCACGAGGUGCGUGUGUGUGCGUGUGUUGCAGCCUGCGCAUGCGCCGUGAAGUCAAUCACGGGCGUCACACAACCGCAGCGAUUGCGGAUCUGGCACGUCGAUCACAGCCGAGGAGUAGUAACCGAUACGCGGGCAGGACGGAGAUGGCGAGCCGCUGCCGACGUGGAGGCCGAGUGUAGCGACGCCUCCCCCGCCAGCAUGUCUGCAACCUGGCCGUCUCCUCCCCCUUAAUCCAGUGUGACUGCAGUCGUCCUCCUCCGCGGGGACCGCUAUGACACCCUGCAGGAAUAAGUGAGUGAGUGAACGCGGUACCGCGCAGGAUGCUCAUCUGCAAGCCGACCUGGAAGACGCUCCGCAAUUGUUCCCGACCCCCGGUGCCGAGGACCGAGCGUUUCCCACGUCAACUUCCCGCUGCUGGUGUAUGAUGGAGAGCUCCAAUGGUUCUGCAGUUAGCGACACCAGACCGAACCAGCCGGAGAAAAAGAGACCGAACCGGGUGCCCUCCCCGGCAAGACCUCUUCUGAAGGACGUGCACGCCCGUGCCGCGAAACCGCCGCUCAUAGGACCCAAAUCGCCCAAACUCGGCAAGCAGCAGGCUCCCAUCCGGGGCUCCAGGCGCAAUCUCACCGCCGUGAAAGAGAAACCCGCCGCGGCCGCCAGGAGUAGCGCCAAGGCCGGGUUGACCAAAAAGCCCGGUAGGCUACCCGGAGCCGAACUCAAAGGAGCCGGCAGUCCGAUCCUCGCCAAGGCUAGGAAGACAAAAGUCGUCUCGGCGAGUGCCGGACAUCCCGGUCAUGGCUCCCCGCUCCGUGUACCGACAGGUCUGGUGGGUCAGACCGACAGCAGUUCGGACCUGUCGGACUGCCCGUCCGAGUUGGCGCCGGUGGCCAGCAGCGACGCCGAAUCUGCCACGGGCUCGAGCGACAGGGACCACCCGGGGGCAGAGCGUCCGCUCAGGGCAGAAACACCUGCAACUCCGGUGGUUCAUCCCCUCCCCAAGGCUUCUCUGUCUCUGGUCCGGUCUGGUCCAAAGAAACCCAAAGGAACCGAGGAUGAACUACUAAGGGAAAUUGAGGAUUUGCGAUCUGAGAACGAUUAUUUGAAGGAUGAGGCGGAAGAACUGCGGGCGGAGAUGGAAGAGCUUCGUGACACCUACAUGGACGAAGAGGUGUACCAAUUGCAGGAGCUGCGGCGUGAACUCGAGCGCUCCAAUAAGAACUGCCGCAUCCUUCAAUACCGCCUUAGGAAGGCCGAGCAGAAAGGCCUGCGUGCCGCCCAGACGGGACACGUGGACGGGGAGCUGCUGCGCGCCCUCGAGCAGGACCUUAAGGUGGCCAAAGACGUAUCGGUGCGCUUGCACAACGAGCUGGAGAGCGUGGAGGACAAGCGCAGCCGGGCCGAGGACGAGAACGAGCAGCUGCGUCAGAGGAUCAUCGAGGUGGAGAUCUCCAAGCAGGCCCUGCACAAUGAGCUGGAGCGUGCCAAAGAGACUGCACUGAGGCGACGAGGUGGCUCAUUUAAGGACAAGAAAUCCACCAACCAGGAGGACUGUGCUGACCUCAGAUGCCAACUCCAGUUUGCCAAGGAGGAGUCAGGUCUUAUGCGAAAAAAAAUGGCCAAACUCGGGCGAGAGAAAGACGAACUGGAGCAGGAGCUGCAGAAGUACAAGUCGGUUUACGGGGAUGUGGACAGUCCCCUUCCCCUGGCCGAGUGCUCUGGUGGAGGCCCUCAUUCAACCCGGGAAGCAGAACUACGGCUGCGACUCAAGCUAGUGGAGGAGGAAGCUAACAUCUUGGGAAGGAAGAUUGUGGAGUUGGAGGUGGAGAACCGCAGCCUGCGGGCCGAAAACGACGACAUCCGCUGCCAGUACGAGCGAGAUUGCUUCGGCCGGGAGCCAUUCUCCAGCAUGCCGUCGUCACCUUAUGGCGGCGACGUGCUAGAGUCUGCCGGCGAGCUCCGCCGGCAUCUCCAGUUUGUGGAGGAGGAAGCAGAGUUGCUGCGUCGCUCCAUCUCGGAGAUCGAGGACCACAACAGGCAGCUAACCUCAGAACUCAACCGCUUUAAGUUUGGCUGCGGGCCGGUAGGCGAAGAUGGUGGUGAUGGAGGAUUUAAACCUGCUAAUGGCUCCAAUGGCGGGAUGAUGAUGGAAGAGCUGAAAUCCGCAAGAAUGCAGAUCAACGAGCUGAGCGGAAAAGUCAUGAAGCUUCAGUACGAGAACCGAGUUCUCCUGUCCAAUGUCCAGCGUUGCGACCUAGCAGCGCACCUAGGUUUGAGAACAGGUAGCCCACGAGACAGUGAUGCAGACAGCGAUGCAGGUCGGCGGGAAGCGGCUGAAGACGAUGAGGCAGGGCGACUCCUUCUUCUCCAACCCAAGAGGGAGGGCCCCAUUGGUGGGGAGAGCGACUCGGAAGACCUGUUUGAAAAAACCACCACCACCUCUGGAUUCGGAAGCAUCAGACCCUCAGAUGGCAUCGAACUUAGUGCGGCAGAACUCGCCAACCGCCGCAGAGAGGAACGGGAAUCCUUUGCCAAUGUAAAAAGAGAGGCUGAUAGACUCGGCAAGUCUGUGGACCGUCUGAUCAAUGACACGGACAAUCUGAUACUGGAGGGAAGGCUUCUGGUGACAACACCUGAGGGUCCGCAAGGAGGAGGGGACCCUCAAGUAUUGGACACAAUCAAUACCCGAAUGAAAGCUUUCCGCACUGAGCUGCAUGUCUUCGUUGAAAAGCUAGAACACGUCAGCGAUGGACUCAGGGACAGGACUGAUGAUCUAUCCCCGAUGCCCAACCUCACCGAGUCCAGCAGCUUCCUGUCCACGGUCACCUCGAUGUCCCGGGAUUCUCCCAUCGGCACCUUCGGAAGAGAUCUGAUGACGGACUUCCAGUCCGGUCAGCGGGAUGAGCUGGAGUGGCGUGUAGGACAGGAGCGAAGCGUGGAGACCCACAACCAGAGCAGGGGAGGUGCGGCGGGACUCGCUAGGUACCACAGACCCCUGGUUUUAAGAGCAGAGCCACGGGAGAUUCCCACUCUCGACGCCCAGCUUCGUCCGGAUCACGAACGAUUGAUGAGAGUCACGACAGAAGAGCGGGAUGCGCCGGUCGUCUCAUUGCCUCAGGAGGACGAGCGCAUGCAUCCGGAGCCCCAGCGCCCACGUCUGGAGCUACCGGGCCUCCUCCAGGCUCCGGAAGCUUCCUGGGCUCAGGAGCGAGCUGUCCUGCAGCAAGAGGUCCGCCUCUUCCGCCGCAAUACAGCUAUCUUCUAUGUGAAGCUCAAGUCCAUCCUGGCACGUUGGAGGCUCGGAGGCAAGGACGGCACUUUACCCGACGACGGCACACAACCAGAAGUUGAGAAGUCGGAGAGUGCCCCCGAGCUGGGUGGGAUGAUGCAACCGGCGGAGGGUGACGGUGUAUCGGCUCCGGUGUCUCCCAAUGGACAGUACCAGCAUCAGUUUGGGGAGAACCGGCGAAUGCUGCAGGCACUGCGCACCCUGCUCGAGCAGUUUCGGGAAGAGCUCCGCGAGGAAGAGUCACGACGCUGCCAACUGCAGCAGGCCUACGCCAACGACAAAGCCGCAUGGGAGGUGAAAUGGGCCGAGAUGAAGUGCCAACUCGCACAGGUGGAGGAGGAAGCGCGAGGGAGAACGCGUGGCCAGGCUCAGGGAGGCGAAGGAGAAGCGUCGUCCCGGGACCCCGAGUGGGCACUGAAGCAGGAGCGCGAGGAGCACCGGCGCCUGCUGGCCGAAAGCCACAACACCUCGCUGGAUCUCCGCUGGCGGCUGCAGCACGGCGAGAAGCGGUGGAGCCGUGAGAGGGCUGAGCUGCUGGAAAACUUUGAGCGGCAGAGGCAAGAGUGGGACGGCGGAAACCGCGAACUCUACCAUAAGAUGGAGAGGCUGCAGAGGGAGCUGAAUUGCCGACGAGGCGAGGGCACUGAGGACGGCGGCUCCUGCUCUGGCACCCGCUCCCCUCGUUCCCCGCGAUCCCCACGCUCCCCGCGGUCCCCCGCCCCCAUCCUGGUGCCACCUGUCCGCUCCCUCUCCGACUCGGAUGCUGGACAAGUAGGCACUACCUCCGGGAGGCUGAGAAGCCCAACAGAGAGCCCCUUUCUGGAUGCACUGUCUCUGGAUCCCCUGGCCAGCCUUGAGGUCCCCCCGCCCUGCAGGCUUGAGGGUGAGAAGAGGUUUCCCUGCAUGAAGGAGGCCCUCAAUGUGAUUUCCGAGAGAGAAGCUACGGAUUUGUACCCCGACGAAGAGAUGGGUGGCGGCAGUUUGCUUAGAGCCAAGUCUGUUUGCUCCAUGAGCGACUUCCAACGCCUGAUGGACAGCUCGCCGUUCCUCCCUGACAAGACGCGCCCCGGUGAGCAAGGCCAAGACGACGUCACCCCACCCCUUUCACCAGAUGACCUCAAGUACAUUGAGGAGUUCAACAACAAGGGUUGGGAUUUCCCGUCAUCUGCCGCCGUCCCUACAGAGCCGCGGGGAGCGGAAGCGGACUCCUUCCAAACACCCUCCUGGUUCCUCACCACCAGCGCUAGCCUGACAACCACCAGCACACUUAACAGUCGGGCAGGUGUGGGAGCAGACGCCUAUGGGGUCCACAUCCUCCACAGCCCCACCAGGCCCGGGCCAGAGUCUGAAUCUGACCUGCUUUACACAAAAGGGAGCAAGGCGAGAGGAGACGGGGAGGCGGCCAGCGGGUCAGAUGAGGUGUUCGGCAGCGGGAGGUGGCCUUGUGGCCUUCUGGAAACUGGGGGGUUAAGGACUUCUCCGAACCAGUCCCCCAUUUGCCCCACAGUGGGCUACGCUUCCUCGCUAGAGCUCCAGCUUUCUCGGAACAUGAGCGACGAUAUGAAAGAAGUGGCCAUUUCAGUAAGGAACGCCAUCCGCUCCCCGCCGGGGCCCAUUGUCCGGGACUCGGCCUCCCAGACCAACGGGUUCACUACGAGGGGCACUCAGACCACGCAGACCAUCAGCGUGGGUUUACAAACCGACCUGCUGAGGACACUAACCAGCAGCCCCCACCGCUGCCUUACCCCAAAAGGUAGCGGCACCCCCAUCUCGUCCCCAUCACGGAAUACCCGGAAGGUGCAGUACUCGCCCGUCAUCCAGAGUAAGUUUGAGCGACCUUGCUGCUCACCUAAGUACGGCUCACCCAAAGUUCAACGCAAGAUGUCUUCGGCCAACAAGGCGGACAUACCCAACACCAGCCGGGCCGCCACCCCUACCACCCCGCAAAAGGGCAACAACGAGUCUGCAUGGGCCCGCUCCACAACCACGCGGGACAGCCCAGUUCACACGACCAUCAACGACGGCCUCUCCAGCCUCUUCAACAUCAUCGACCACACGCCUGUUGUUUACGACGCCGGCCAAAAGUUUAACAAGUCCCCGAGCCGGUCUCGCCCCACAAAUGCCGCCGAGUCCGGCCCUGACCCCAGGAGUGCCAGGGGCCGCUCCCCCAGCCCUGUGCAGUUGAUCGUGGAGACGCAAGGGGACCGGAACGCUGAAGUAGUCAGCAUUCGGCAGGACCUGUCCGCACCGCCGGGAUACACUCUGGCCGAGAACGCCGCCCGCAUCCUUAACAAGAAACUGCAGGACGAAAGGAGGAUGCAAGCGGGAGGACUGGGAAGCAAGGUGGUUGACCCGGAAAGAGCGCAGCCUGGAUGCAUGGAGGUAAAUCACUUAACAUUGUUCCUCGAAUGGGGACGUCUCCAAUUGAUCGUUAAAUUUACGGUAACAUUAGCUGUGGUUCCAUGAAAAGAAAACCAUAAAAUUCAACAAAGUGUUUUUCGUAUAUCUUUUUUUCAUCUUAAAAUUAUAACAGACAAAAUAGACGGUGCCAUCGACGAUAAUAGACAUCUUAAUCAUGUAGCUCUUUCCAUCCUGUGAAUUCCCGUUACUUUGUUGCUACUAGAAGUCCAAUCUAUUUGAACUGGGAAGAUUGGAUGUCUAUCACUGUCAAUGGCAGUCAAAGAGUUAUUAAAGCAUUUUUUAAAAAAAUACUCUGAUAUAUGCAUAAAUGUUCUCUUGUCAUCCUCACUCUCCAACACACACAUCUUGGCAGUCCAGCGUGCUGACUGCUGAGCUACUGACGACCGCUGAGAGCAGUUGUUUGUAGUUUGAUGUUCAUUGGAAAUUUUAAUGGUACAAUUCUGUCAGCUACAGCUGCCAGUAUUUUACUGCAUAUUUAACUUGUUUACAGUGUAUGAGCUCUGUCUUCACCAAUUUUAUUUUAAUAGGUCUACAUUCUUCUGGCUUUCUCAUGUUUCAGUACAAAGACAUCAUGUGAUUUGCCGGAUACAUGUGUCCCUUUAAUGGAAUUGCUGGAACUUCUCUUGACCAAAUAAAUGUGUCGGCUCAGCCAAGAUAUGAAAGGGAUCAUGCUUACAAAUGAGCGUAACGAUUCGGGAUUAGCGGAAGAUUAUUUUGGUAAAGUUGCAGAUAAUCCUCUUAACAAGAAUCAAUCUUCACCAAAGCAAAAAAAAAGCUUUGCAGUAAUUGCAGGCAUUCUAUCAUGAAUUCCUGACCUGCAUCUUCAGCAUUUUUAUGGGGAGUCAAACAAGCUUCACUGCUAUAUGCCAAGACGAAAACUAAAGUAGAUUACAAUUCAUCUUUUUCUAUCUGACUUGUGAGCAGUAUUGUUUUUGGCAGCGUUUUUAAUUUUUGUCUUAGUCUUUUGGACAAAAAUACUUAUUCAUCUUAGUCAUGUUUUGGUCACUUCAAUAUGUGUUAGUUGUGUAUUGUUCAUUAAAAUAUUCUACUAGAUUUAGUCAACAAAUACAAUGUUUUCAUCUUCAAAAAUUCAAGGGCCUGCUGACCUUGACUCGAGAUGUUGUGAGUUGGUGGGCUAAAUACUUUGAAGACCUCCUCAACUCCACCAACACACCUUCCCAUGAGGAAGGAGAGCCCAAGGACUUUGACCUACUAUCUUGGGUGUUGAUGUUGCUGAGGUGGUUGAAAAGCUCCUUGGUGACAAAGCCCACGGGUUGCAUGAGAUCCACUCGGAGUUUCUAAAGGCUCUAGAUGGUGUGGAGUUGUCUUAUAUGACACGCCUCUGCAACAUUGCUUGGAAAUCGGGGACAGUGCCUCUGGAUUGGCAGACCGUGAUGUUGAUCACACUCCUCAGCUCCCAUGUAAGGUCAAUUCAGGGGUACUGGAGAGGAGGGUCCGUCAGGAAGUUGUAUCACAAAUUCAUGAGGAGCAGUGUGCUUUUUUUCCUGGCUGCAGAACAGUCAAUCACCUCUAUACCCUUAGCAGGGUUUUUCGUGGGGUCAUGGGAGUUGGCCCAACCAAUCGACAUGUGUUUUGUGGAUUUGGAGAAGGCGUUCGACCAUGUCCCCCAGGGAGUUCUGUGGGGGGUGAUCCGGGACUGUGGGGUACUGGAACCCCUGAUAUUGGGGAUCUGGUCCCUGUAUCACCGGUGUCAGAGUUUGCUCCGUGUACCUGGCAGUAAGUCGUAUCCGUUUCCAGUGAGGGUUGGACUCCGCCAAGGCUGCCCUAUGUCACGGAUUCUGUUAAUAACUUUUAUGGACAGAAUAUCUAGGAGCAGCUAAGGCUGCUUUGGUGACCUCGGUACUGCAUCUCUCCUUUUUGCAGAGGAUGUAUUUCUAUUGGCUUUAUCAGGCCGGGAUCUUCAACUCUCACUGGACCGAGUGUGAAGCGGUUGGGAUCAGAAUCAGCAUCUCCAAAUCUGAGAUCAUUGUCUUCAGUCUCGAAAAGGUGGAAUGCCUUUUCCGGGUCAGGGGUGAGGUCCUUCUCCAAGUGGAGGAGUGUCUCAGGGUCUUGUUCACGUGUGCGUAGAGAAAGGAGUGGUAGAAAAACUGGCGGAUCGGUGCGGCGUCUGCAUUGGUCCUUCAUGGUGAAGAAGGAGCUGAGCUGAAAGGUGAAGCUCUCUAUUUACCGGUCGAUCCACGUUCCUAUCUUCACCUAUGGUCAGGAGCUGUGGGUCGUGACCAAAAGAACAAGAAUCCUGAUACACGCGGCCGAAAUGAGUUUCCUCUGAAGGGGUUCCCGGCUCUCCCUUAGAGAUGGUGUGAGAAGCUCGGUCAUCUGGGAGGGGCUUAGAGUCGAGCCGCUGCUCCUCCGGUUUGAAAGGAGCCAGAUGAGGUGGCUCGGGCAUUUGAUUAGGAUGCCUUCCAGACGACUUGUGAGGUGUACUGAGCAUGUCUUACUGGGAUGAGGCGGCGGGGAUGACCCAGGACACCCUGUGGAGACUAUGUCUCCCGGCUGGCCUGGGAUCGCCUUGGGAUUCUCUCGGAAGAGCUGGAUGAAGAGGCUGGGGAGAGGGAAGUCUGUACUUCCUUGCUAAAGCUGCUGCCCCCCGCGACCCAUCCUCAGAUAAGCCGGAGAAAAUGGAUCAAUGGAAAAUUCGAAGGUUUUAGUCAAAAAAUAAAAACAGGUUUCAAACAUUUUGGAAUGAACAGCCUAACGUUAAUGCUAACGCGAAUGCUAUGCUAAUGCUAAGAGUUACAAUAAGUGUGUGAUGAUCACUCAGCCCAGACCUCUAAAGGCUAAAGCAACAUUGCAUGAGUUAACCACCAAACGCAAACAUAGCUAUGAUGCAGGCUGACUAAUUAUACAUACAAUAAGAAAAUGUCACGCCUUAUGAACAUCUCACAGAAACUACAUACAGCAUGUCGCUUUUUCGUCUUGUUUUCAUCUCGUCAGACAAAAACAGGCGUAGAGAACAUUUUUUUCAAAUGAAAAAAACAAUGCUUGUGAGGCUCUAAAAAUGUUUUGUCUCUGACUAAAUCCAGCAACUACAGUGAUACCUCGACAUUCGAUCACUUCGACACACAAUCCUUUCGACAUCCAACGUAAAAUUUGACUCGCCAUUUGUUUCUACAUCCGACGACAUGCUCGAAAUAGCGAAAGCGCAGCUUUGCUUUCCUGCAAGACGGACGGGAGAAAUCACCAUGGGUUUCAAGAAUGUUAGCGCAGGUGGUGAAAAAAGGAAAAAGGUGAGGCUUACCAUUGAAAUGAAGAUGGAAAUGAUAGAAAAAUACGAGUGUGGUGUGCGCCUCAGUGAAUUGGCUUGAAAAGAAGAACGUUUACGAUCACGACGGUCCUCCUCCGACCUCCAUUCGUCAGUCUUUAUAAGUUAAGGUGAUAAUUAUGUUUGAACAUUGCCCAAAAAACCGCCAGCUUCGUCAGGUUUAUAAUCAUUUCUUUCAGAACUGUGCAACACAACAUGCCUACUAUCCGCCACAGUUGAACAUGAAAAGUGAAAGUAAAAAGUCCUCUCUCACUCUGUCAAGUCAGCCACACGAUGCGUUCAGGUACACCACACAAAACAUAUUCGCCACAUUAGAACCUGAUUCUUACAUUAGUUCAGGUAUUGUUAUUAUUACUAUUAUUAUAUGAUCAUUCCCAUUUUAAUUCAUAAUUUAUUUGUUUUGCUCUGUGUAAUUGCUAUUUGCAAUAGUGCCCACAAUAUCUAUUAAAGAUUUAGUGUAGGUUUUCGCGAUGUGGAAUGCAGUAAUGGAAUUAUAAUGUAUUCUUAUGGGAAGAUCCUGCUCGAUAUACGACCAUUUUGACUUACAAACAAGGUCCUGGAACGAAUUAACUUCGUAUGUAAAGGUACCGCUGUAUUUGACUUUUUUUUUUCCAUUGCAAGCGUCACAAUUCGAAUUCACCCGACAUAUCGGCUGGUCGUUCCCGGUUUUUAUUCCCAGGUCAUCCUCUUGUCCUCCAGCUGGAUUUAAACCUUUCCCGGUUUGUCUUUCCCCCCUCUUUGCUCCAGAAGCACACUGUCAUACUAACAACUCCGUGGGGACUAUAAGUCUCCACCAUGACCUCCCCCACUCUCUGGUGGUUCCGCCCUUGGAGUGGCACUACCUGCGCCGAGCCCGCCCCCCCAACCGCCGCCCACCCUCGCGCUGGGCCAACCUCUCGCCGCC
RNA transcript from Corythoichthys intestinalis (scribbled pipefish), 9985 nucleotides. It is a transcript of the gene named microtubule cross-linking factor 1, with no coding region annotated. NCBI's taxonomy places the organism in Eukaryota, Metazoa, Chordata, Actinopteri, Syngnathiformes, Syngnathidae. The transcript is spliced from 15 exons. The record is from RefSeq and is a predicted model, not a curated record.